AACUGUCUCUUACGGACUAGCCAAUGAAAUUGAUCCUUCAGUACAAAAGCUGGAAUUAGCCCAUAAGACGAGAAGACCCUGUGGAGCUUCAAAACCAAAAUCACCAAACAUGCUUCAUGGGUUUUUAGUUGGGGCGACUUUGGAGCAAAAAAAACCCUCCAAACAUAAAUCUAUUUAUUAAGACUAACACACCAAAAAAAUAUUAUAGACCCAGCAGUAUCUAUUUACUGUCUGACCAAUGAACCAAGUUACCCCAGGGAUAACAGCGCCAUCCUCUUCUAGAGUCCUUAUCGACAAGAGGGUUUACGACCUCGAUGUUGGAUCAGGACACCC
RNAcentral lists this ribosomal RNA (333 nucleotides) under Podarcis peloponnesiacus (Peloponnese wall lizard). RNAcentral describes it as "partial large subunit ribosomal RNA". It matches the Rfam family "Bacterial large subunit ribosomal RNA", at positions 2014 to 2547 of the family's 2925-position model. Lineage: Eukaryota; Metazoa; Chordata; Lepidosauria; Squamata; Lacertidae. The record is from RNAcentral.